Diabrotica virgifera virgifera (western corn rootworm) is the source of this 1034-nucleotide long non-coding RNA. RefSeq lists it as uncharacterized. The transcript is spliced from 2 exons. The record is from RefSeq and is a predicted model, not a curated record. NCBI's taxonomy places the organism in Eukaryota, Metazoa, Arthropoda, Insecta, Coleoptera, Chrysomelidae.
AGAAGUGUACAUUCCUGCAUAGUAUCAUGCAUUCCUGUAUUGUAUCCGCUGGGAGCGUUAACUUUGACACAUGGUCACGUGCACGUGGUACACUGUGGAUGUUUGUGGGACGAUCUAAUGUGUAUUCCUUAUGGGUGAUUUGCAAAAACAAGAGAUUAUUUAAAAUAUUACUAUUAAUUUUGUACAAUUGUAUCAAUACAUCACAAGAAAUUCGCUAUAAAUACUAUAUAUGGUAGAAAAUGUCUGAUAUAAUACAUAAAUAUAAUUUCGAUAGGAAGAGAUUUUUAGGUUAACAGCCGAAAUGUGAGGUUACGGCUGUCAAGAAGGACUUCGUAAAUGUAAACAAAAGUUGCAAAGCCAGAAUUUGCCCAAUCUCAAAGCCUUUUUAAUUCCUAUAAAGUUGAAAUGUUGCUUCCUCUGCUUAAGUAUAUUGUUUUUAACAUAAUACCACCAUAAUUCUGUCUUAAAUUUGUAUGAAAUAUAGUUUUUUAGUGAUAUUCACCAAGCAAAGUUUACAAACUUUUGUGAACCAUUCUAUUUUGUAUAAUAAAAAUGGUAAUGUGCUUUGCCCCGGAUUGUACACAAUAUUGUGAAAGAGGGAUAUGUAGAUUCUUUGUUGUUCCCAGGAUCUGGUUGAAAAGAAGACAUUGAUUUCAUUACUAAGGCACCCAGGAGAAGGGCAUGGCCCUAACCCUCAAAUAUGAGUAUUAUAGAAAAUUAACAGUUACCCAGGCAACCAUCCAAUGAGAAUCGUAGGAAAAUUAACAGUUCCAUAGACAAUCAUCCAGUGACCACAUUGUCUCUUUUUGGACAUACCAUCUGACGCUUUCUGAAGAAGAUCUUGGGGUGUAAAAAUAACCCAGGACAGCACCAGAAGAAGCCGUCAGACCACAGGCUAAAUUCCUUAUUAAAAUCUAUAGCUUGCCUAUAAACAGAGACAGACUAUUUUUAUAUAAAAUAACUUCAUUAGUUCUAAAAUGUAGAUCUUGAAUUGUGACCAUAAUAAAAUGAGAAAAUAAAGUGUUUAUACUGAA